AGAGCAAGGAAAGGAACUCUGGGCCCGUCAAGAUGGAUGCAGAAAAUAUCUUCUGGAACGAGACAACGUCUCAAGUCUCUACUUCCCUCACUGGUCAGCUCUGUGCUCUUGACUAGGACUCAUCCUCUUUGUGUAUGGAGCUGGGGAUGUGAAAGAAGGUGCAGAGACACCAGCCAGCUCUGAGGAGUGGACAUCCUACCCGGCUCGAGAUAAUACAAGACAAUGACCGCUGACCUCUCCAGAGUCUACCGUCCUUCAGAGAUUAGAAAUCAGUGAUCGUGGCUCCCACAUCACCUCUGGUUCGGGGAACAUGGAG
Non-coding RNA from Miniopterus natalensis, 316 nucleotides. NCBI's taxonomy places the organism in Eukaryota, Metazoa, Chordata, Mammalia, Chiroptera, Miniopteridae. The record is from RefSeq and is a predicted model, not a curated record.